GGCAGCCACGGACUUUCGGUCCUGGUGGCGAAGUGGCGAACGGGUGAGUAAUGUAUCGGAACGUGCCCAGUAGCGGGGGAUAACUACGCGAAAGCGUAGCUAAUACCGCAUACGCCCUACGGGGGAAAGCAGGGGAUCGCAAGACCUUGCACUAUUGGAGCGGCCGAUAUCGGAUUAGCUAGUUGGUGGGGUAACGGCUCACCAAGGCGACGAUCCGUAGCUGGUUUGAGAGGACGACCAGCCACACUGGGACUGAGACACGGCCCAGACUCCUACGGGAGGCAGCAGUGGGGAAUUUUGGACAAUGGGGGAAACCCUGAUCCAGCCAUCCCGCGUGUGCGAUGAAGGCCUUCGGGUUGUAAAGCACUUUUGGCAGGAAAGAAACGUCGCGGGUUAAUACCCCGCGGAACUGACGGUACCUGCAGAAUAAGCACCGGCUAACUACGUGCCAGCAGCCGCGGUAAUACGUAGGGUGCAAGCGUUAAUCGGAAUUACUGGGCGUAAAGCGUGCGCAGGCGGUUCGGAAAGAAAGAUGUGAAAUCCCAGAGCUUAACUUUGGAACUGCAUUUUUAACUACCGGGCUAGAGUGUGUCAGAGGGAGGUGGAAUUCCACGUGUAACACUGAAAAUGCGUAGAUAUGCAGGAGGAACACCGAAUGGCG
Molecule: ribosomal RNA, 661 nt
Filed under: Achromobacter pulmonis
Lineage: Bacteria; Pseudomonadati; Pseudomonadota; Betaproteobacteria; Burkholderiales; Alcaligenaceae
Description: bacterial SSU rRNA
Rfam family: Bacterial small subunit ribosomal RNA
Source: RNAcentral